GCAGUCAUGGCCGAGUGGUUAAGGCGUUAGACUCGAAAUCUAAUCCCCUCUGGGGUCGCAGGUUCGAAUCCUUAUGACUGCG
RNAcentral lists this transfer RNA (82 nucleotides) under Hofstenia miamia. RNAcentral's name for it is "tRNA-Ser for anticodon CGA". It matches the Rfam family "tRNA". Rfam says of the family: Transfer RNA (tRNA) molecules are approximately 80 nucleotides in length. Their secondary structure includes four short double-helical elements and three loops (D, anti-codon, and T loops). The record is from RNAcentral. Lineage: Eukaryota; Metazoa; Xenacoelomorpha; Acoela; Hofsteniidae.